GCAGUCGUGGCCGAGUGGUUAAGGCGAUGGACUAGAAGAAAUCCAUUGGGGUCUCCCCGCACAGGUCCAAAUCCUGUCGACUGCG
RNAcentral lists this transfer RNA (85 nucleotides) under Ixodes scapularis (black-legged tick). It matches the Rfam family "tRNA". From Rfam's summary of the family: Transfer RNA (tRNA) molecules are approximately 80 nucleotides in length. Their secondary structure includes four short double-helical elements and three loops (D, anti-codon, and T loops). Lineage: Eukaryota; Metazoa; Arthropoda; Arachnida; Ixodida; Ixodidae. The record is from Rfam by way of RNAcentral.